Molecule: ribosomal RNA, 621 nt
Filed under: uncultured bacterium
Lineage: Bacteria
Description: bacterial SSU rRNA
Rfam family: Bacterial small subunit ribosomal RNA
Source: RNAcentral
AUUAGAUACCCUGGUAGUCCACGCCGUAAACGAUGUCGACCAGCCGUUGGGUGCCUAGCGCACUUUGUGGCGAAGUUAACGCGAUAAGUCGACCGCCUGGGGAGUACGGCCGCAAGGUUAAAACUCAAAUGAAUUGACGGGGGCCCGCACAAGCGGUGGAGCAUGUGGUUUAAUUCGAUGCAACGCGAAGAACCUUACCUACUCUUGACAUCCUGCGAACUUGUGAGAGAUCACUUGGUGCCUUCGGGAGCGCAGAGACAGGUGCUGCAUGGCUGUCGUCAGCUCGUGUUGUGAAAUGUUGGGUUAAGUCCCGUAACGAGCGCAACCCUUGUCCUUAUUUGCCAGCGGGUAAUGCCGGGAACUCUAAGGAGACUGCCGGUGACAAACCGGAGGAAGGUGGGGACGACGUCAAGUCAUCAUGGCCCUUACGAGUAGGGCUACACACGUGCUACAAUGGCCGGUACAAAGGGUUGCGAGCUCGCGAGAGUCAGCUAAUCCCGAAAAGCCGGUCUCAGUCCGGAUCGGAGUCUGCAACUCGACUCCGUGAAGUCGGAAUCGCUAGUAAUCGUGAAUCAGAAUGUCACGGUGAAUACGUUCCCGGGCCUUGUACACACCGCCCGU